This 76-nucleotide transfer RNA is filed under the name Methylophilales bacterium BACL14 MAG-120920-bin58. RNAcentral describes it as "tRNA-His". The stretch from base 4 to 69 matches the Rfam family "tRNA". From Rfam's summary of the family: Transfer RNA (tRNA) molecules are approximately 80 nucleotides in length. Their secondary structure includes four short double-helical elements and three loops (D, anti-codon, and T loops). Further hydrogen bonds mediate the characteristic L-shaped molecular structure. tRNAs have two regions of fundamental functional importance: the anti-codon, which is responsible for specific mRNA codon recognition, and the 3' end, to which the tRNAs corresponding amino acid is attached (by aminoacyl-tRNA synthetases). tRNAs cope with the degeneracy of the genetic code in two manners: having more than one tRNA (with a specific anti-codon) for a particular amino acid; and 'wobble' base-pairing, i.e. permitting non-standard base-pairing at the 3rd anti-codon position. The record is from RNAcentral. Lineage: Bacteria; Pseudomonadati; Pseudomonadota; Betaproteobacteria; Nitrosomonadales.
CACGCUGUAGCUCAGUUGGUAGAGCCCUGGAUUGUGAUUCCAGUUGUCGUGGGUUCGAGCCCCAUCAGCCACCCCA